This 221-nucleotide ribosomal RNA is filed under the name uncultured bacterium. Its description in RNAcentral is "partial 16S ribosomal RNA". It matches the Rfam family "Bacterial small subunit ribosomal RNA", at positions 109 to 334 of the family's 1533-position model. The record is from RNAcentral.
AGUAAUGUCUGGGAAACUGCCUGAUGAGGGGGAUAACUACUGGAAACGGUAGCUAAUACCGCAUAACGUCGCAAGACCAAAGUGGGGGACCUUCGGGCCUCAUGCCAUCAGAUGUGCCCAGAUGGGAUUAGCUAGUAGGUGGGGUAACGGCUCACCUAGGCGACGAUCCCUAGCUGGUCUGAGAGGAUGACCAGCCACACUGAAACUGAGACACGGUCCAG